AGUGGAUGUAUGCCAUGAUGAUAAGAUAUCAGAAAUCCUAUCACCGGGUGUACAUCAGCUAA
This 62-nucleotide microRNA precursor is filed under the name Caenorhabditis elegans. RNAcentral's name for it is "Cel-Mir-36-P6_pre stem-loop". Lineage: Eukaryota; Metazoa; Nematoda; Chromadorea; Rhabditida; Rhabditidae. The record is from RNAcentral.